RNAcentral lists this transfer RNA (77 nucleotides) under Faecalibacterium prausnitzii. RNAcentral's name for it is "tRNA-Arg". It matches the Rfam family "tRNA". Rfam says of the family: Transfer RNA (tRNA) molecules are approximately 80 nucleotides in length. Their secondary structure includes four short double-helical elements and three loops (D, anti-codon, and T loops). Further hydrogen bonds mediate the characteristic L-shaped molecular structure. tRNAs have two regions of fundamental functional importance: the anti-codon, which is responsible for specific mRNA codon recognition, and the 3' end, to which the tRNAs corresponding amino acid is attached (by aminoacyl-tRNA synthetases). tRNAs cope with the degeneracy of the genetic code in two manners: having more than one tRNA (with a specific anti-codon) for a particular amino acid; and 'wobble' base-pairing, i.e. permitting non-standard base-pairing at the 3rd anti-codon position. The record is from RNAcentral. RNAcentral also lists the same sequence under 2 other names. Lineage: Bacteria; Bacillati; Bacillota; Clostridia; Eubacteriales; Oscillospiraceae.
GUCUCCGUAGCUCAGAUGGAUAGAGCGCAAGCCUCCUAAGCCUGAGGCCCCCGGUUCGAAUCCGGGCGGGGACGCCA